UUGGAGGGCAAGUCUGGUGCCAGCAGCCGCGGUAAUUCCAGCUCCAAUAGCGUAUAUUUAAGUUGUUGCAGUUAAAAAGCUCGUAGUUGAAUUUCGGGAUUAGUACGUCGGUCGUGCCUUAGGUACGUACUGGUGUUACUGGUUCCUACCUUCUGACGAACCAUCAUGUCAUUAAUUUGGUGUGGUGGGGAAUCAGGACUGUUACUUUGAAAAAAUUAGAGUGUUCAAAGCAGGCUCGCGCUUGAAUACAUUAGCAUGGAAUAAUGAAAUAGGACGUUGAUCCUAUUUUGUUGGUUUCUAGGAUUGACGUAAUGAUUAAUAGGGAUAGUUGGGGGCAUUAGUAUUCAAUUGUCAGAGGUGAAAUUCUUGGAUUUAUUGAAGACUAACUACUGCGAAAGCAUUUGCCAAGGAUGUUUUCAUUAAUCAAGAACGAAAGUUAGGGGAUCGAAGACGAUCAGAUACCGUCGUAGUCUUAACCAUAAACUAUGCCGACUAGGGAUCGGAUGAUGUUAUUUUUAAUGACUCAUUCGGCACCUUACGGGAAAC
Molecule: ribosomal RNA, 546 nt
Filed under: uncultured Glomus
Lineage: Eukaryota; Fungi; Glomeromycota; Glomeromycetes; Glomerales; Glomeraceae
Description: SSU rRNA
Rfam family: Eukaryotic small subunit ribosomal RNA
Source: RNAcentral